UCGGAAUGUGAACUGCAGGACAUAUGAGCAUCGACACUUUGAACGCAUAUUGCGGGCGCUGGCUCGUCCACCGCCCAUGUCUGGCUCAGGGUCGGUUUCUCAUCCCUCCCCGGAUUUUCUGGGGCAUUGGGCUCUCGCCUCUCGGCGUGGCUUCAAGUUCUGGGCGCGUCUCUGCCUCUGGUGGACGGCUACGACUCUUGGGAUUCUCUCCCGGGUCUGCUGCCCCCUCCUCUGGCGACGUGCGCCGCUGACCACCUCUCAUUGGGAAGCGGCAACCCUCUGAACUUUCGACCUGAGAGCAGGCAAGGUGACCCGCCAAAUUUAAGCAUAUUAAUAAGCGGAGGAAAAGAAAACAACCGUGAUGCCCUUAGUAAUGGCGAAUGAAACGGGCUGAGCCCAGCACCGAACCGCCGGCCCUUGGUCGCGUGGAAUGUGGUGUUUGGGGGAGCCUCCUCGCGACGCGUUGGCCGGUCCAAGUCCACCUUGAC
RNAcentral lists this ribosomal RNA (488 nucleotides) under Mesocyclops longisetus curvatus. RNAcentral describes it as "eukaryotic LSU rRNA". The stretch from base 289 to 488 matches the Rfam family "Eukaryotic large subunit ribosomal RNA", at positions 1 to 195 of the family's 3401-position model. The record is from RNAcentral. Lineage: Eukaryota; Metazoa; Arthropoda; Copepoda; Cyclopoida; Cyclopidae.